Molecule: long non-coding RNA, 413 nt
Organism: Manis pentadactyla (Chinese pangolin)
Lineage: Eukaryota; Metazoa; Chordata; Mammalia; Pholidota; Manidae
Exons: 3
Source: RefSeq, a predicted model, not a curated record
UCAUAUGGUUUAAACUCUUUUUCUGUUUUUUCACUCAGUGAAAGCAUGAACAUUGGAAUAAAAUGGUCCUCAGCUGAACAAUAGCCAGUUCUCUUAUUAAUGUGUAACCUAAGACUGCUUAUGUGAUGCACCCAGGAAUGGAGAGGACAAAGCGGCAGGCUGGAAGCUGUGAACUGGAUCGACAUCAAGGACUCCUCACUAAGACCAACUAGUCAGCAGCAAAGAAGAGACAACAGGUGAACUCCACAUUCAAGAGUGACUGCCAAAGUAGAUUUAAAGAAGCAAGAAGAGGAGUGUUCUGUGGAGGAAAGCUUUGAGACACAUUAGGCUUCCUAAUUGCUCCUGGAGGUCAGAAGUCAUGGCUUUUUGAAGAAAGUCUGUUCAUAUAUCUGGCUCAGUUAUUCUUCAGUAUA